This 490-nucleotide ribosomal RNA is filed under the name uncultured bacterium. RNAcentral describes it as "bacterial SSU rRNA". It matches the Rfam family "Bacterial small subunit ribosomal RNA", at positions 501 to 994 of the family's 1533-position model. The record is from RNAcentral.
CUACGUGCCAGCAGCCGCGGUAAUACGGAAGGUCCAGGCGUUAUCCGGAUUUAUUGGGUUUAAAGGGAGUGUAGGCGGUUUGUUAAGCGUGUUGUGAAAUUUAGAUGCUCAACAUUUAACUUGCAGCGCGAACUGUCAGACUUGAGUACACGCAACGUAUGCGGAAUUCAUGGUGUAGCGGUGAAAUGCUUAGAUAUCAUGAAGAACUCCGAUUGCGAAGGCAGCAUACGGGAGUGUAACUGACGCUUAAGCUCGAAGGUGCGGGUAUCGAACAGGAUUAGAUACCCUGGUAGUCCGCACAGUAAACGAUGGAUGCCCGCUGUUAGCGCCUGGCGUUAGCGGCUAAGCGAAAGCAUUAAGCAUCCCACCUGGGGAGUACGCCGGCAACGGUGAAACUCAAAGGAAUUGACGGGGGCCCGCACAAGCGGAGGAACAUGUGGUUUAAUUCGAUGAUACGCGAGGAACCUUACCCGGGCUUGAAUUGCAGAUG